AGAGUACGAUAGAGGGAGGUAGAAUUCAUAGUGUAGCGGUGGAAUGCGUAGAUAUUAUGAAGAAUACCGGUGGCGAAGGCGGCCUCCUGGAUCUGUACUGACACUGAGGUGCGAAAGCGUGGGUAGCGAACAGGAUUAGAUACCCUGGUAGUCCACGCCGUAAACGAUGACAACUAGCUGUUGGGAGACAAUGUCUUUCAGUGGCGCAGCUAACGUUUUAAGUUGUCCGCCUGGGGAGUACGGCCGCAAGGCUAAAACUCAAAUGAAUUGACGGGGACCCGCACAAGCGGUGGAGCAUGUGGUUUAAUUCGAUGCAACGCGAAAAACCUUACCUACUCUUGACAUACUUGGAAGCUCUUGUAAUGAGAGUGUGCCUUUUGGAACCAAGAUACAGGUGCUGCAUGGCUGUCGUCAGCUCGUGUCGUGAGAUGUUCCGUUAAGUCGGAUAACGAGCGCAACCCUUACCCUUAUUUGCCAGCGAUUCGGUCGGGAACUAUAAGGGGACUGCCGGUGAUAAACCGGAGGAAGGUGAGGACGACGUCAAGUCAUCAUGGCCCUUACGAGUAGGGCUACACACGUGCUACAAUGGGGAAUACAGACGGACGCUAAGCCGCGAGGUGGUGCUAAUCCUAAAAAGUUCUUCGUAGUCCGGAUUGGAGUCUGCAACUCGACUCCAUGAAGUCGGAAUCGCUAGUAAUCGCGAAUCAGCAUGUCGCGGUGAAUACGUUCUCGGGUCUUGUACACACCGCCCGUCACACCAUGGAAGUGGAUUGCACCAGAAGUAGAUAGUCUAACCUUCGGGAGGGCGUUUACCACGG
Molecule: ribosomal RNA, 818 nt
Filed under: marine metagenome
Description: bacterial SSU rRNA
Rfam family: Bacterial small subunit ribosomal RNA
Source: RNAcentral